GACGAACGCUGGCGGCGUGCUUAACACAUGCAAGUCGAACGGAAAGGCCCUGCUUCUGUGGGGUGCUCGAGUGGCGAACGGGUGAGUAACACGUGAGUAACCUGCCCUUGACUUUGGGAUAACUUCAGGAAACUGGGGCUAAUACCGGAUAGGAGCUCCUGCUGCAUGGUGGGGGUUGGAAAGUUUCGGCGGUUGGGGAUGGACUCGCGGCUUAUCAGCUUGUUGGUGGGGUAGUGGCUUACCAAGGCUUUGACGGGUAGCCGGCCUGAGAGGGUGACCGGCCACAUUGGGACUGAGAUACGGCCCAGACUCCUACGGGAGGCAGCAGUGGGGAAUAUUGCACAAUGGGCGGAAGCCUGACGCAGCAACGCCGCGUGCGGGAUGACGGCCUUCGGGUUGUAAACCGCUUUCGCCUGUGACGAAGCGUGAGUGACGGUAAUGGGUAAAGAAGCACCGGCUAACUACGUG
This 468-nucleotide ribosomal RNA is filed under the name uncultured bacterium. RNAcentral describes it as "partial 16S ribosomal RNA". It matches the Rfam family "Bacterial small subunit ribosomal RNA", at positions 28 to 507 of the family's 1533-position model. The record is from RNAcentral.